GCGGGUGUAGCUCAGUUGGUUAGAGCACUGCUUUGUGGUAGCGGGGGUCGCGAGUUCAAAUCUCGUCAUUCGCCCCA
This 77-nucleotide transfer RNA is filed under the name Alphaproteobacteria bacterium. Its description in RNAcentral is "tRNA-His". It matches the Rfam family "tRNA". From Rfam's summary of the family: Transfer RNA (tRNA) molecules are approximately 80 nucleotides in length. Lineage: Bacteria; Pseudomonadati; Pseudomonadota; Alphaproteobacteria. The record is from RNAcentral.